Non-coding RNA from Taeniopygia guttata (zebra finch), 1571 nucleotides. Lineage: Eukaryota; Metazoa; Chordata; Aves; Passeriformes; Estrildidae. The record is from RefSeq and is a predicted model, not a curated record.
GGCGGUCCGAGGGGUCCCGGCUGUGAGGGGCGGGCGGCGGUCCGAGGGGUCCCGGCUCUGAGGGGCGGGCGGCGGUCCGAGGGGUCCCGGCUGUGAGGGGCGGGCGGCGGGCCGAGGGGUCCCGGCUGUGAGGGGCGGGCGGCGGUCCGAGGGGUCCCGGCUGUGAGGGGCGGGGGCAUCCCGGUGUGAGGGUAUCUCCGAGGAGGGCGUGUUGGUGUGAGGGUCUCUGUGGGGAGAGGGCGUUGGUCUGGUGGGUUCUUGUGAAGAGGGGGAGCCGGGUGUGAGGGGUUGUGUGAGGGGCUCUUGGGGGUGUGCAGAGAGAGUAACCAGCUGUGAGGGGUUGUGUGAAGAGCAGUUUUAGGGGAUAAGAGAAGAGUUGCUGAGGGAUAGGAGAACAGGAGAGAGCUGGCAUGUGGGGGUGCUGAGGGAAGUUUGGGAAAUAAUUUGUGGAAGCCCCAUGUGGGGACACUGAGUGGGGAGAGGGGCCUGAGGGAGAAGAUGAUGGGGGGCUGCUGCUGAGGCCAUUUGAGCUCAGACAGCAUUUUGAGGGGCAACAGUCCUGAGGGAGAAUGAGGAAACUGAGGAAAGGUGUAGGGCAGACGUCAGCAAGGAAGUACUUGGGGCCUGGACAUGUGUGGGAAGAAGAGGUGUAGGGGAGAGGCCUGGCACGGAUGGGAACUUUUUGGGGACAAUGUGGAAGAGGACAGUAGGUUUGGGGUAAGCUGUCUGUGGUGAGGACAUGGAUCCAAGUGGAGCUGCCUCUCUGGCCAGGGGCAGCUCAUCUACAGGCGGUGUCAGUCCCAGGAGGUGGUAGGUGACUGCUCUAGUGCAGCUGCCCUCACCAAAUGGGUGUAUUUCAGCCUGCCCUUGGCCGAACUGUAUCUGGGUUGUGGCCAGAAGAGGGGAAAAAAAAAUCUCAUGGGCUGAGCACAUGGUCUCCUAAACUGUACUCUUGGCUCUCGGUGGUGAGUGUUGAACUUGGUAGGUUGUUGAGCCUUUGUGUGCUUUGGUAUCUCCAUCUAUGAAGCAGAGAUAACAGUUGGCUUCAUGCAGGGAUUAAUUAUCACAUCUUGUAGUCACGUAUUUGUUUAUUUGUUUUUACUAUAGAUUACAGCUGGAGGAAUUCUAAACAGUUCACUUCUCCUUGUCAUGGUGUUUGAGCGCAUUGUGCUCCGUCUGAACAGAGGAAAUCACUGAGCAGGACUGAAGGGGGUUUUACUCUGGCAUUGGUUCAGAAUACCUGCAAUGGCUACAAGGACAAGUAUUAUAGAGUCCUUGAUCUUGAAGAGUGACUGAUGGAAAGAAGCAGUGCAGGAAAGGCCUUGGCUCUGGUCCUUGGCUGGAUGGGCAAGAAGAGGCCUUUGGCAGAGAAGGGAGAAAGGUGACUAAUAAUGUGAAACUGGGAGGAAACACAUUUCAGUUAUGCAAUCUUCUGGCUUGCUUUCUCUGAAGGAAGACACCUUUUGUUAGUUGUUCCACUGGCACUUGCUGCUCAUGCUGUCUUCUGAAUAGAAAUCUAAACCAAUUAUUUCUCUGCUUGCCUUAGGAAGCUUAAUUUAGCUUCAUAGCAA